CGGCGGACGGGUGAGUAAUGUCUGGGAAACUGCCUGAUGGAGGGGGAUAACUACUGGAAACGGUAGCUAAUACCGCAUAACGUCGCAAGACCAAAGAGGGGGACCUUAGGGCCUCUUGCCAUCGGAUGUGCCCAGAUGGGAUUAGCUAGUAGGUGGGGUAACGGCUUACCUAGGCGACGAUCCCUAGCUGGUCUGAGAGGAUGAUCAGCCACACUGGGACUGAGACACGGCCCAG
Molecule: ribosomal RNA, 235 nt
Filed under: uncultured bacterium
Lineage: Bacteria
Description: partial 16S ribosomal RNA
Rfam family: Bacterial small subunit ribosomal RNA
Source: RNAcentral